This 1089-nucleotide long non-coding RNA is filed under the name Olea europaea subsp. europaea. Lineage: Eukaryota; Viridiplantae; Streptophyta; Magnoliopsida; Lamiales; Oleaceae. The record is from RNAcentral.
UCCAUAAUCCUUAGUUUAUGUGGGUUACUUUAACACUUAAUAUUUCAUUCAAUUUUAAAUGGUUUUCGAUAAAUAAAUAUAUCACGUUAAUCAUCUCGCGAAGUAGAACGUGAAUAUGCUAGAUCCCGUAUUAUUUAAAAGGUGGGUCCCACUGAAAUUUGGGCUCAAAGUUGACCCAUUAAACCAUUUUUUCCAACAUGUAUAACUUCUGAGUGAUUAUUCGUUUGAGAUGAGCCCUUUAUACUUUCUCUUUCACAGCCUCAAAGAAUGGGGGGAAAUGGCACUUACUAAUAUGCUGAUAUGCUCGAUGAGUGCCACUAAUUUUAACUCUCAUAAUUUCAUUUGGCAUCAAGAUCAACAUUUCAAAGACGACUGAAUCCCAUAUAGUUCGUUUAAGCCCGUCUUGCGGGCUGAUACGCAUUGAACACCCUACUCUUAGAACCUGGGUUUUAAAGGUGAUUCUAUUCUAUCCAAGAUCCUCCCUUUAGAAACCAGUUUUAAGAGCUGUUCUUGCAAAAGUUUCCUUCCCUUAACUCAAUUGACAACCCACAUUCAAAAAUCAUUUCUUAAACGACCAUUCACUCAAAACUUCAAUCAAAACAAAUUAUAAUUCGAAACACAAAACUGAACUAAAAAAUUUUAAUAACAAUAAUAAUUAUUACUCCAACAAUAACGAAUACCUGUUUUUCUUUUCUCUUCAAGAUUUUCACAUGGCAUUUUUUGAUAUAAUGAAACAAAUGGUACCGCGAGUGCCUGGAGUAUAACUGGUCUCUGAUUUCUGGGUUUGCAGUCAACCAAUCUAAAACAUCUUUGGACUUAAUUACCUCGUCCGUCUCCAGUGAUUCUAGCCAGGAGUAAACCGGCAUCCAUUGGUCCGUUCGCUGAAAUCUAUGAUCAUACAUAUUUUCCUGCAGGCAGUAAAAGAUUACUACAAUAGUUUCUUGAAAGGGCAACGGAUUCAGGAAUUGAAAUUGAAAUAUAUAAACAAUUGGGGAAUAAAGGACGACUGGGAAAGUUGUAAAUGAUAGCGGCAGUCCGUUGGGUGGUUAGGUUAGGGGAAAAGGGAAAGCAAAAAUUAUCUGGGGAAAU